AGGAAAAGAAACCAACAGGGAUUGCCUCAGUAACGGCGAGUGAAGCGGCAAAAGCUCAAAUUUGAAAUCUAGCACCUUCGGUGUUCGAGUUGUAAUUUGAAGAUGGUAACCUUGGGUUUGGCUCUUGUCUAUGUUCCUUGGAACAGGACGUCAUAGAGGGUGAGAAUCCCGUCUGAUGAGAUGCCCAUUCCUAUGUAAGGUGCUAUCGAAGAGUCGAGUUGUUUGGGAAUGCAGCUCUAAGUGGGUGGUAAAUUCCAUCUAAAGCUAAAUAUUGGCGAGAGACCGAUAGCGAACAAGUACAGUGAUGGAAAGAUGAAAAGAACUUUGAAAAGAGAGUGAAAAAGUACGUGAAAUUGUUGAAAGGGAAGGGCAUUAGAUCAGACUUGGUGUUUUACGAUUAUCUUCUCUUCUUGAGUUGUGCACUCGUAUUUCACUGGGCCAGCAUCGAUUCGGAUGGCAAGAUAAUGGCAGUUGAAUGUGGCUUCACUUCGGUGGAGUGUUAUAGCUUCUGCUGAUAUUGCCUGUCUGGAUCGAGGGCUGCGUCUUUUGACUAGGAUGCUGGCGUAAUGAUCUAAUGCCGCCCGUCU
RNAcentral lists this ribosomal RNA (587 nucleotides) under Hansenula anomala. RNAcentral describes it as "eukaryotic LSU rRNA". It matches the Rfam family "Eukaryotic large subunit ribosomal RNA", at positions 54 to 654 of the family's 3401-position model. Lineage: Eukaryota; Fungi; Ascomycota; Saccharomycetes; Phaffomycetales; Wickerhamomycetaceae. The record is from RNAcentral.